Molecule: ribosomal RNA, 110 nt
Filed under: uncultured bacterium
Lineage: Bacteria
Description: partial 16S ribosomal RNA
Source: RNAcentral
AAGAAGGCCUGCGGGUUGUAAAGCACUUUUAGUGGGGACAAAAAGCCACGGGCUAAUACCCGGUGGUCUUGAUUUAACCCAAAGAAAAAAGCACCGGCUAAACUCUGUGC